RNAcentral lists this ribosomal RNA (2904 nucleotides) under Enterobacter cloacae. Its description in RNAcentral is "bacterial LSU rRNA". It matches the Rfam family "Bacterial large subunit ribosomal RNA". Lineage: Bacteria; Pseudomonadati; Pseudomonadota; Gammaproteobacteria; Enterobacterales; Enterobacteriaceae. The record is from RNAcentral.
UUAAGCGACUAAGCGUACACGGUGGAUGCCCUGGCAGUCAGAGGCGAUGAAGGACGUGCUAAUCUGCGAAAAGCGCCGGCGAGGUGAUAUGAACCUUUGACCCGGCGAUGUCCGAAUGGGGAAACCCAGUGUGAUUCGUCACACUAUCGUUAACUGAAUACAUAGGUUAACGAGGCGAACCGGGGGAACUGAAACAUCUAAGUACCCCGAGGAAAAGAAAUCAACCGAGAUUCCCCCAGUAGCGGCGAGCGAACGGGGAGCAGCCCAGAGUCUGAAUCAGCUUGUGUGUUAGUGGAAGCGUCUGGAAAGUCGCACGGUACAGGGUGACAGUCCCGUACACGAAAAUGCACAGGUUGUGAACUCGAAGAGUAGGGCGGGACACGUGGUAUCCUGUCUGAAUAUGGGGGGACCAUCCUCCAAGGCUAAAUACUCCUGACUGACCGAUAGUGAACCAGUACCGUGAGGGAAAGGCGAAAAGAACCCCGGCGAGGGGAGUGAAAAAGAACCUGAAACCGUGUACGUACAAGCAGUGGGAGCACCUUCGUGGUGUGACUGCGUACCUUUUGUAUAAUGGGUCAGCGACUUAUAUUCUGUAGCAAGGUUAACCGUAUAGGGGAGCCGAAGGGAAACCGAGUCUUAACUGGGCGUUAAGUUGCAGGGUAUAGACCCGAAACCCGGUGAUCUAGCCAUGGGCAGGUUGAAGGUUGGGUAACACUAACUGGAGGACCGAACCGACUAAUGUUGAAAAAUUAGCGGAUGACUUGUGGCUGGGGGUGAAAGGCCAAUCAAACCGGGAGAUAGCUGGUUCUCCCCGAAAGCUAUUUAGGUAGCGCCUCGUGAACUCAUCUUCGGGGGUAGAGCACUGUUUCGGCUAGGGGGCCAUCCCGGCUUACCAACCCGAUGCAAACUACGAAUACCGAAGAAUGUUAUCACGGGAGACACACGGCGGGUGCUAACGUCCGUCGUGAAGAGGGAAACAACCCAGACCGCCAGCUAAGGUCCCAAAGUCAUGGUUAAGUGGGAAACGAUGUGGGAAGGCACAGACAGCCAGGAUGUUGGCUUAGAAGCAGCCAUCAUUUAAAGAAAGCGUAAUAGCUCACUGGUCGAGUCGGCCUGCGCGGAAGAUGUAACGGGGCUAAACCAUGCACCGAAGCUGCGGCAGCGACGCUUAUGCGUUGUUGGGUAGGGGAGCGUUCUGUAAGCCGUUGAAGGUGUGCUGUGAGGCAUGCUGGAGGUAUCAGAAGUGCGAAUGCUGACAUAAGUAACGAUAAAGCGGGUGAAAAGCCCGCUCGCCGGAAGACCAAGGGUUCCUGUCCAACGUUAAUCGGGGCAGGGUGAGUCGACCCCUAAGGCGAGGCCGAAAGGCGUAGUCGAUGGGAAACAGGUUAAUAUUCCUGUACUUGGUGUUACUGCGAAGGGGGGACGGAGAAGGCUAUGUUAGCCGGGCGACGGUUGUCCCGGUUUAAGCAUGUAGGCGGAACGAUUAGGUAAAUCCGGUCGUUUAUUAACGCUGAGGUGUGAUGACGAGGCACUACGGUGCUGAAGUAACAAAUGCCCUGCUUCCAGGAAAAGCCUCUAAGCAUCAGGUAACAUCAAAUCGUACCCCAAACCGACACAGGUGGUCAGGUAGAGAAUACCAAGGCGCUUGAGAGAACUCGGGUGAAGGAACUAGGCAAAAUGGUGCCGUAACUUCGGGAGAAGGCACGCUGAUAUGUAGGUGAAGCCCCUGCGGGUGGAGCUGAAAUCAGUCGAAGAUACCAGCUGGCUGCAACUGUUUAUUAAAAACACAGCACUGUGCAAACACGAAAGUGGACGUAUACGGUGUGACGCCUGCCCGGUGCCGGAAGGUUAAUUGAUGGGGUUAGCGGUAACGCGAAGCUCUUGAUCGAAGCCCCGGUAAACGGCGGCCGUAACUAUAACGGUCCUAAGGUAGCGAAAUUCCUUGUCGGGUAAGUUCCGACCUGCACGAAUGGCGUAAUGAUGGCCAGGCUGUCUCCACCCGAGACUCAGUGAAAUUGAACUCGCUGUGAAGAUGCAGUGUACCCGCGGCAAGACGGAAAGACCCCGUGAACCUUUACUAUAGCUUGACACUGAACACUGGUCCUUGAUGUGUAGGAUAGGUGGGAGGCUUUGAAGUGUGGACGCCAGUCUGCAUGGAGCCGUCCUUGAAAUACCACCCUUUAAUGGCUGGUGUUCUAACGUAGACCCGUGAUCCGGGUUGCGGACAGUGUCUGGUGGGUAGUUUGACUGGGGCGGUCUCCUCCCAAAGAGUAACGGAGGAGCACGAAGGUUAGCUAAUCCUGGUCGGACAUCAGGAGGUUAGUGCAAUGGCAUAAGCUAGCUUGACUGCGAGAGUGACGGCUCGAGCAGGUGCGAAAGCAGGUCAUAGUGAUCCGGUGGUUCUGAAUGGAAGGGCCAUCGCUCAACGGAUAAAAGGUACUCCGGGGAUAACAGGCUGAUACCGCCCAAGAGUUCAUAUCGACGGCGGUGUUUGGCACCUCGAUGUCGGCUCAUCACAUCCUGGGGCUGAAGUAGGUCCCAAGGGUAUGGCUGUUCGCCAUUUAAAGUGGUACGCGAGCUGGGUUUAGAACGUCGUGAGACAGUUCGGUCCCUAUCUGCCGUGGGCGCUGGAGAAUUGAGGGGGGCUGCUCCUAGUACGAGAGGACCGGAGUGGACGCAUCACUGGUGUUCGGGUUGUCAUGCCAAUGGCACUGCCCGGUAGCUAAAUGCGGAAAAGAUAAGUGCUGAAAGCAUCUAAGCACGAAACUUGCCCCGAGAUGAGUUCUCCCUGAGACUUUAAGUCUCCUGAAGGAACGUUGAAGACGACGACGUUGAUAGGUCGGGUGUGUAAGCGCAGCGAUGCGUUGAGCUAACCGAUACUAAUGAACCGUGAGGCUUAACCUU